AGGCUGCAGUGGGGAAUAUUGGACAAUGGGGGAAACCCUGAUCCAGCAAUACCAUGUGUGUGAAGAAGGCCUUAGGGUUGUAAAGCACUUUAGUCAGGGAGGAAGGCCUUGUUGUUAAUAGCAGCGGUGAUUGACGUUACCUGAAGAAUAAGCACCGGCUAACUCCGUGCCAGCAGCCGCGGUAAUACGGGGGGUGCAAGCGUUAAUCGGAAUUACUGGGCGUAAAGGGUUCGUAGGUGGUUUAUUAAGUCAGAUGUGAAAGCCCAGGGCUCAACCUUGGAACUGCAUUUGAUACUGGUAGACUAGAGUAUAGCAGAGGAGUGGGGAAUUUCUGGUGUAGCGGUGAAAUGCGUACGAUAU
RNAcentral lists this ribosomal RNA (360 nucleotides) under uncultured Gammaproteobacteria bacterium. RNAcentral's name for it is "bacterial SSU rRNA". It matches the Rfam family "Bacterial small subunit ribosomal RNA", at positions 346 to 697 of the family's 1533-position model. Lineage: Bacteria; Pseudomonadati; Pseudomonadota; Gammaproteobacteria. The record is from RNAcentral.